CCAGACUCCUACGGGAGGCAGCAGUGAGGAAUAUUGGGCAAUGGAGGCAACUCUGACCCAGCCAUGCCGCGUGAGUGAAGAAGGUUUUCGGAUUGUAAAGCUCUUUCGGAUGUGACGAUGAUGACGGUAGCAUCUAAAGAAGCCCCGGCUAACUUCGUGCCAGCAGCCGCGGUAAUACGGAAGGUCCGGGCGUUAUCCGGAUUUAUUGGGUUUAAAGGGAGCGUAGGCCGCAUGUUAAGCGUGCCGUGAAAUGCCGUGGCUCAACCAUGGCACUGCGGCGCGAACUGGCUUGCUUGAGUGCGCGGAACGUAUGCGGAAUUCGUGGUGUAGCGGUGAAAUGCUUAGAUAUCACGAAGAACUCCGAUUGCGAAGGCAGCAUACGGCAGCGCUACUGACGCUGAAGCUCGAAGGCGCGGGUAUCGAACAGGAUUAGAUACCCCAGUA
This 444-nucleotide ribosomal RNA is filed under the name uncultured bacterium. RNAcentral describes it as "bacterial SSU rRNA". It matches the Rfam family "Bacterial small subunit ribosomal RNA", at positions 331 to 792 of the family's 1533-position model. The record is from RNAcentral.